UGCCCGGACGUAACACGGCACCCCCCCGCCCGCCAAAUAACUACGAGUGAAAACUUAAAACUUAAAGGACUUGACGGUACUUCACACCCAACCUAGAGGAGCCUGUCUACUAACCGAUAAUCCACGAUUAACCCAACCACUUCUAGCCACCCAGCCUAUAUACCACCGUCGCCAGCCUACCUCGUAAAAGAAACAAAGUGAGCUUAACAGUACUACACUAACACGACAGGUCAAGGUGUAACUAAUGAAGCGGACCAAGAUGGGCUACAUUCUCUACCCCAGAUUACACGAACAAGGCUAUGAAAUUAACCUUUAAAGGCGGAUUUAGCAGUAAGCUGAGAACAAAAUACUCAACUGAAACCAAUGCAAUGAAGUGCGUACACACCGCCCGUCACCCUCUGCAGUCACUUUA
This 412-nucleotide ribosomal RNA is filed under the name Uropeltis sp. RNAcentral's name for it is "partial 12S ribosomal RNA". Lineage: Eukaryota; Metazoa; Chordata; Lepidosauria; Squamata; Uropeltidae. The record is from RNAcentral.